CCGAGAAUAGCUCAGCUGGCAGAGCGGGAGACUGUAGUGUGCUGCAUGCGAAUGCGUGUGGCUUGAUUGGCAUCUCUAGGUCCCUGGUUCAAUUCCGGGUUCUCGGA
This is a non-coding RNA of Martensiomyces pterosporus, 107 nucleotides long. The record is from the annotation of a GenBank genome assembly. Lineage: Eukaryota; Fungi; Kickxellomycota; Kickxellomycetes; Kickxellales; Kickxellaceae.